Molecule: long non-coding RNA, 7585 nt
Organism: Orcinus orca (killer whale)
Lineage: Eukaryota; Metazoa; Chordata; Mammalia; Artiodactyla; Delphinidae
Exons: 2
Source: RefSeq, a predicted model, not a curated record
GGCUGUGGCUCGGGGAGCACGUACCUUCCUUGAAAGUGUCCCCCCUACCCAACCCCAGCCGCUCCCGUUCCCUCCCACACACAUCCUCUGGUUGCAGCACAAAUGAACAUGUCAGGAAGUUCGGAGGCUGCCGCUCUGGCCUGGCCUGGGGGGGCUUAGAGCUCGGACCCCUCCUCACCUGCAUGGGCCUCCUCUCAUCCCCCCAGUGAGUCUCAUUUUCAGAAAGGUCUGUCCCCCACCACCCCAUGCGGCCCAGCCAUUUGAAGUCUCACCGGGCAGUAACCCUGUCCUGGGUUCCGCUUUCCUGACUGUGCCAGGCGGAGGGUAAUGAAGGGCCCAGCUCCACACACAUAGGAGCUGGGGGGAGCUCCUCCUGCCACGUCCAGAGGUGGCCAACUCGGGAAGCCUGUUCCUGUCCUUGACCGUGGGCGCCGGGAGGAGGGGUCAGAGCAGAGCCCCCAGCGGCCCCUGCUCGGGCGCAGGGCUGGUCGGUCAGCCUUGAGGUUUCUCGGUGACCCCCCCCCCACACACACACACCCAGAGUAGGGGACGCGUGCCAGGCGCCCAGGGGCUUUUGAGAAGGCUGGCGACCCUCCAGAGCGGAGUUGGGGGCAGCGGCCAGCAGCUGGUUUAGGGGAAGGAGUCGGCGGCCGCCCUACCAGUCGGACGGAAUAACAGACUGAGCAGGGCCUGUGCGAGCCGUGCCUCUUCUCUGUCCAUUUCCUCUGCCAGAAAACGCGGAAAUGGGUCAGGCUCUGGUUCCCCCUCCAACGGCAUCAAAGACCACUCGCCCACGCUGCCCGCUUCCUAGGACGGUGCCAGCGCACACAGAGCCUGCCGUCCACCUGCCCUCGCUGCUCCCUCCCUGGAAACCCACACGCCGCAGCCCCAGGGGAGCGAGCGGCCACUGGCUGGCUCUACAAGGAGUGAGAUUCGCCCAGAGAAACCCGGAUCCGAGCGUUGCCGGCAGAUGCCAGGAGUGAGGGUCACUGCUGUGGGCACGGCUGCCAGGCGGCGGUUGUGACUGUCCUGGUCAUGUUGCUUUACCACUGGCUUCGUCCCAUAAGGCCGUAGGACCCAUAGGCCCAGGCUGCGUUUCUAGGUCAGCUGCCCUCUCGGGAGGACGGGCAGAGGCCCGAGCGGCCGUGAUGCCCAGAGGAAGCAAGGAGUGGGGGGUGGUGGGCGGCCUGGCCCGCCUGCACAGCUGGAUGGCGGCCUGAGGUUCCCGUAGGACCCGGCUGCUAAGCGCCACCCUGGAACCAGGCUGCAAGCCCAAGUGGGCAGAGCCAGGAGGACUGGCUGCAGCUGCCCCUGCUGCCCGGCUGGACCUGAGCCCCUGCCUGCCCCUGGGAGGUGCCCACUGGGGCCCUCUACCCCCACCCCAAUUCCAGCCUCCUGAGGCCCGGGGAGGGGCCCUCGCCAUGCACUCCAUGGCCGUGACCUUCCGUAAAGUUUGCACGGUGACGUCGUAGCUGCAUUUGGUUAUGACCACCGGCGCGACCCCCCAUCACCCCUCCCCUCCUGGCACGGGCGCUGCGGUGGCUCUGGCUCGUCUGGGGCCUGUCCUGGGGCAGCAGGCGGGGGCUACGGAGCGUCUGGGUUUAGUGGGGUGUGUUGACGGGUUUGCUGUCUCUUCUAGUAGAACUGAGCACCGCUAGCCGUCCUGGGUGUAGAUAGGGGCGGCGCCCAGGGGGAGUCUGAGCGCCCCUGGGCCCGACGCACCCAGUGGUGACGUGGGGAUGCUGCCACCACUGCGGCACCGGCAGAGCAGGAACCAAGUGUUCGCCACUGUGCCGGUCUGGUGUCCGUGACUUUGCACUGCUUUUCCUGAGAAGGACUCCACAGAGUUGCGUGAGCUCCUGGCCUCACAAAACCUGGAUUUAUUCUCCAUCUAGCCACCAGCUCCCCGAUUCGAGGGAGGGACGAGGGGUCUGGCCUGGGAUGUGGGCGGCAAGGCUGGUCUUCAGCUCAUUCCCUGUGCACUGUCCCCUGGGGGACUGUGCUGGCCCUGCUCCCUGAGAGGACCUCCGGGUGUGACCACACAGGGGCCCUGGCUCCCGGCCAGGCUGGUGGGUGUGGGUCAAGGCCGCUCCUUGGAGUCCCAGGCUCUCUCCGCCCACCCGCGGGCGGCCUGCCUAGUGAGGACCUUGUGCCGGCCGGGCCGCGAGGCCUGGGGCAGCUCCAGGCCCCCUGCGCCCGGACCCGGCUUAUCGCGGCCCCGCUCCCCCCGGCCUUGCUGUUUUCAAGGAUGAUCUCAGUGCCGUGGGUGUAGCUGACUGCAGGCCUGUGUCUGGUCUUUACUGGAGUUUAUCACGAGCCCUGCAGGUGGAUCUCUCGUGCACCCAUACUGUCUGCUUUAUUCCCGUGCUGCUUUCUCCAGCUGGGACCAGGCCCCAGAGGACCCAGACCGCUUGCGUGCCUGCGGGAGUCCCCAUCCCGGCCUCCCUGACUCACGUGGGGCUGGUGGGGUCGUUUUACCCACAAGCCACGGGUGCCAGAGCCUUGCCAGCAAACAGAGGGGACAAGGGUGGGUUAUAGGAGGAAACUGAGUUUCUCAACAGGGUGAUCCUGACCCCGCAGGACAUGCUGGUCAAUGUCUGAAAACACUGAGGGGUUGCAGCUUGGGGGUGGGCGUGCCACUGGCAUCUAGUGGGUGGAGGCGGGACCCGUGAUGUCAGGUGCGGGAGUUAUUGUGAGCAAAAGGGGGCAGGGUGGGAGACCAGAAAGCCCUGGAGGCCCCCGUUUCCCCCCCACAAGGCCGGGAGCCCCUCUGGGCACAGCUGGCUUCCCACCGCGGGGCAGCCCUUCCUUUCCUCGGUGGGGAUGACGGGGUGACAGUGGAGCACGGGCAACAGGGCAGAGGCACCGUGGAGGGAUGCCCUCUCACCCUGGUGCCUGCACUCAGCGUCUGUGGAGGAGUGGGUGGUGGACAGACCAGGCCCGGGGCCCCCUGUGGGUGCUCUGAGCGCUGGGACACGGCUGUCCUUUGGGGCCUUGCUCAGACCCAUGGUCCUGGGGGCCCUCCUUGCUGACCACCCCCCUACCCCACCCCCACAGACCGGAGGCCCUGCAGUCCCUCCAGCCUGGGCCCUCGUCCGGUGUGAGCCCUCGGGCAGCAGAGCAGGAGGUGGACAUCGGGAGGGCUCCGUUCGGGUCAGGAGAGGCCGGUGGAGGGACGAGCAGAGCUGGGCCUGUGGACGGGUCAGCCCCACACCUGGGGAGGGUGGAUGCGCUCCAUGCACAGGCGGAGGGGGCGGUUCGAUCCAUCCCUUUACUGGCCAUGCAAACGACAUCAGCCUCCCCUGCAGAGUUACCCCUUCCCUCUUUAUUAUAAGUAACUAUUUUGUAGGAAAGCACUUUAAAACUACACAAACAUCCCAUGCUUCCUCAGACUUCCACUUACUUGUCUAUUCAUCUGAGUAUAAGCGCGUGAAUUACAAUUCUUUUCAACAGGCAGUAGUCUGUUCCUGUCGGGGCACCCUGUCAGGCUGGCUCCAAGCACGCUGGGGGCCCCCGGGGGCCCUGGACGGCUUCCUGGCCGUCUGGUGUUUCAAGAUGUUCCAGGAGCAUCUGGUGUUUUCCUGCCCAGGUUGGAAUCGGCCAUCUCUCCAAGGAGUCCCAGCCACUGUCAGUGGAAGCUGGUGUUUAGAAACCAUGAUCUGGGUGCUGGGGUGCCCUGGGUCCUUGCUGCUGGGGUGUCACAGCUGCCAGCCCUCUCAAUGGACAGAACUAGGACUUGUACAGAUGCAGGUCCACACUCACAGUCACCCUCGCACAAAUGCGCUCACUCACCCAUUUAUAUCCGUGUUUAUCUCAUGAUCAGUUUCCCCAUUGCCGGCUCACUUCCCCUGCCAGGCGGGCCGUGUGUUCAGGUUACUGAUGCACAGAGUUCCUCACUCGGUCCAUGGCAGGGUCCUGUGGGCCUUAGGAAGCUGUCCCUCGAGGCUGUGAUUUGAUGGACGGAGCAGCCUGGGCUCAGCGGGAAGCCUGGACCCGGGUGGAACUCAGAACAGAGUCCGUCCUCGAGGCCCUCCUAGCAGAUUUCUGCAGCAGCUCCUGACCUUGGCAGAGGGUCGAGCAGGCCUCUGUGUCCAGUGGUGGGGAGUGAUUCUGUGAACUAUGGCUUGGGCGUCUGUCACGGAAUUCUUGGCUCCGGACCGAGGGCCAGGGGGCAGAGGGCGAGGCAGGUAUUCUCAGGCUGCAGCUGGCGAGGGGAGGAGGGAGUGUUUUGGCAAAACAGCUUGCACUAGGCCAGGGCAGGCCAGUGCUCAGAGCGGUAACCCCGUGACCUGCGUCCGGGCUGGCUGGGACUUGCUGUUUCCUGGGGUCACGACGGAGCCCCCACCUCUCCACUCCGGAGGACACCCUGUGACCCGGCUCGGGGGCCCACGGGGCCUUCUGCUCGUUGGCCUUGUCAAGGAUCGCGGCAAGGGGCCGGGAGAAGUGAGUGUGAAUCCACACGUACCGUCAGCCCGUGCUCGCGUCCCUUUUCCCUGGGCCGCCAGAGCCGCACCCUGACUCCCACCGAAUGUCGUCGAUCGGUAGGAAAGUCACGCGGCCAGUGCCCGUCUCCUCUGUGCAGGUGCCUGGCCAGCCCGCCGGGCCGCGCCACCGUCCCCCGCCGGUGCUCCGGCCUGUGGGGCCCACCCGCCCCUUCUCCCGGGUUUGGCUGCAGGACGGCCUGGCUGGAGCCGGAAGCACAAAGGAAAGGAGGGUCGGAUCGGGGGGCGACAUUACACCCCAAGCUCCCCACCCUGCGGGGCUGGACGGGUCCCAGGGUGAGCUGCAGGGGCUGGGAAACCUCUGCAGGAGGGGAGGGCGGAAUUAUGCCCCCGGCCGCAGGGACCCUCUCCCCACAGAGCCAGAGAACGUGGGUAGGGAUGUCGGCCCGUGAACUCGGCGCUGGAUUCAGGAAGCAGGUUCUCACUGUGGUGCUGAGGCCCUUCGGGACAGGCCGCCAGGCUUCACGCCAGCAUCACGGGAGCGAAGCGGAUUCUCUGGUGAUAUCCACUCACGGGCGGUUCGGCCCUGACGCCUCCAGACCUGUCUUCCCACCGAGGUCCUUUUCAGCCCGAACUUCAUGGUUCCUAGUACCUCUGGGGCAAGGAGUUCCCUGCUGAACUAGCCACAUCGACCGGCAUUUCUCUUCAGUGCCCGAAAAUACCCUCUCAAGUGUCAAAAGGCCUCACGAGUCUGUCUUGGUGACGGCAGACCCAAACCACUGAAUCACGGGCUUCCUACUGGUGAAACGUACAGCAUAUGACUUGCAGCACAGUAAAGCUGUUAAUGACAACGGCAUCACCCUUCGGCCCUUCAUUAUUCUUUCUGUUACUCCUUCGAACUCCUAACAGGUAGGUGUAGAAGGGGGUCAGGCACCACCACCGUCCCCAUUUUGCUGCUGAGGGAGCUACGUGAUGGUCACAGCCCCAGAUGGGAAGUGGGAGGUCUAAGACUUCGGCCCGGAGAUGGUGAGUUUGGCUCCUUCUGUAAGCUCACCGUCAGCCCGCCUUCCACGGUCUAACGCUGAUCCCCCUCCUAUCUAAUUUGGUCAUUUUCAGGUGAUUAAUCUGACUCCCUGGACCCUCCCAUUGCUUUUCUCUGAACCCUCUUUCUAACACAGCGCUGUGGCGGUCAGCCUCCACGAUGACCCCACUCAUCCCGGCCUCUUGGUCAGCGUCACCUUCCUGCAUCAAAUCAGGGCUGGUCCAUGUGGCCAAUGGCGUAGGGCGGAGCUGAUGGGGUUGACUUCUGAGGCUAUAAAAGGCACUGCAGGCUCCGCCUUGGCCUCUUGGAUGGCGGCAGCCGCCGUGUCGUGACACUCAGGCAGCCCCACGGAGAGGGCCACUUGCAGAAACACAGGUCUCUGGCUAAGAGCACCAACGUGCCCGCCGCGUGACAGAGCCACCUUGGAAGUGCCCCUCCCGCCCUAGGCCAGCCUUCAGACGAUGCCACAGCCCCGGCUGACACAGGACCACACCUGCACGUCACGGCCCAAGUGGAGACUGCUCAGCCAGGCCCUCCCCAGAGGCCUGGCCGACCGACGGUGUGAGAGAAGCCACUGAGUUUGGGGGGUGUGACUGGAACCAGCACCCAGACCUGCACAGAACCUAGACGUGGGGCUACACCCGAGACAGACAAAACCUUCUCAUUUUCCUGCCCAGGUCCCUUCUUAGUCAUCCUGGGGUAACUGGACUCCCGUCAGCAUCAGUGACCUGCUCGGAGGGUCCACUCCAACCCGCAGGGCCACAAGCAGGGCACACCCUCACGUGACAACCAGACUAGCAGUUUCACCACUCGGGAGGCCAGGUUUGGGUCUCAGCUCCUCCCCAAAGCUGGGCAAGCUGGUAGCAGGGCGCGAGGCUGUGUCUGCCCCACGAAGGAAAAGCCUUCCUCUGAAGUGCCUCAAUCAGAGUUCUUGUGGGUAGACCAGAGGCACUCAGCCUCGGCCAUGCACUGGGAGCAGCGGCGGGAGCUCGAAGCCCCCUGUGCCGGCCCCAGCCCGACACCGGCUCAGCGUCUGGGACACAUCGGGUGCCAGGAAGCUCAGACCUACCCGGGCGUUCUGAAUGCAGCCGCGGCCGAAACAGCUGGUUCACGUCAGCCACGUUGAUGCUUAAAAGUGUUUUCAGGCCUUGUUUACAACAUAGAGCAAGCACUUGUUUAAAAAGGAGACUCCAACACAUCAGGCAGGCCACAUCUCAGGAAAUGGUUUUUCUGGACACAGUGGUCUAACCUGAGAUGGUUUACGUUUAAUCGCAUUUUGCCACAGGAAAAAGUGCCCCAGGAAACACUGCGCGGAGGGCAGGAUGCCCAGCUGGGCUCUUUAAACAGCAGUGGCCACAGACAGCGCAGUUCACUGAUUCUGUAAACGACCACAGAGGCUCUACCUGCCCGGAGCACAGCUGCCUGACGGUACGAAACUCAUUAGGAAGCAGGCACUACGGGGACGUCCACGUUUUACUAACUCAUGAGGUCCCUUCAGACAGCUGACACUCAGUGACCGGUUCAGUCUCGUACUGGGCAGGGUUCUACCAGGGACAGAAGUCGUAGGACAUUUUUAUGCAGAAAGAUCUCUUACAGGGCUGGGCGCAGACAGCUGUGGGGCUGGCACCUGGGAACAGCCAGGAGCUAACGCUGCAGCUCAGAUGCGGGAUUUCUUCUUCCUCGAGGAAACCUCCAAUUUCUCCAAAAGGCUUUCAGCCGAGCGGCCGAGGCCCCCGCACAUCACGGAGGGGGAUCUCCUUCACCUAAAGCCAGCUGGUGGCAGAGGUGACACACAUCCCCCAGGUGCCUUCACCCCAGCCCCCAGUACGCGGGCCUCUCACUGUUGCGGCGCACAGGCUCCGGACGCGCAGGCUCAGCGGCCAUGGCUCACGGGCCCAGCCGCUCCGCAGCAUGUAGGAUCUUCCCGGACCGGGGCACGAACCCGCGUCCCCUGCAUCGGCAGGCGGACUCUCAACCACUGCGCCACCAGGGAAGCCCCAGAGUUGGCUUUUUGUUUUGCAAAUGUCUGUUUCCUGAUUAUAGACGCAGUCCUGCUCAUCGUACAAAACUCCAAGAUUAAAGUUUGGGGGUAUUUCAGUUA